GAAAUGCGAUAAGUAAUGUGAAUUGCAGAAUUCAGUGAAUCAUCGAAUCUUUGAACGCAUAUUGCACCCUCUGGUAUUCCGGGGGGUACACCUGUUCGAGCGCCAUUUCGACCCUCAAGUAUAACUUGGUGUUGGGUGAAGUCCCUUAAUGGGGACUCCCCCCUAACUCGUAGGCGGUCAUCGCCCUUUUCCCCCAGCGUAGCAGGCUCACGCACUCGCUCAGGGAUAGGCGGUUUGACUCGCUAAAUAAAAACCCUUUUUUAAAGGUUUGGCCUCGGAUCAGGUGAGGAUACCCGCUGAACUUAA
This 306-nucleotide unclassified non-coding RNA is filed under the name uncultured fungus. RNAcentral's name for it is "sequence contains ITS1". The stretch from base 1 to 105 matches the Rfam family "5.8S ribosomal RNA", at positions 50 to 154 of the family's 154-position model. The record is from RNAcentral. Lineage: Eukaryota; Fungi.